UGUGAACUGUACAAUACUUGUCUUCAAGCAAUUGAAAUAUGUUUUAGUUGUUUGACAAAUAACACCAUUUAUUCACAACUAUGAAAUAUGUCUUAGCUUUGUAAAGAAAGAGAAGAUACAAUUAAGAA
Haliotis rubra (blacklip abalone) is the source of this 128-nucleotide long non-coding RNA. RefSeq lists it as uncharacterized. The record is from RefSeq and is a predicted model, not a curated record. The transcript is spliced from 3 exons. NCBI's taxonomy places the organism in Eukaryota, Metazoa, Mollusca, Gastropoda, Lepetellida, Haliotidae.